UUUUUUUUUUUUUUUUUAAGACAGAGUCCCUCUGUCACCCAGGCUGGAGUGCAGCAGCACAGUCUUGGCUCCCUGCAACCUCCACCUCCUGGGUUCAAGCGAUUCUCCUGCUUCAGCCUCUCGAGUAGCUGGGAUUACAGGCAUGCACCACCACGCCCAGCUAGUUUUUGUAUUUUUGGUAGAGAUGGAGAUUCACCAUGAUGGCCAUGCUGGUCUCGAACUCCUGACUUCGUGAUCUGCCCGUCUUGGCCUCCCAAAGUGCUGGGAUUACAGGCGUGAGCCACUGCUCCUGGCCAACAUGUGUUUAUCUCUACACUCUCCUCAAAUCGCAUUAAAAUGAUAGUAAAGACAAAAAAAGGAACACACCUGCAGAGACAACAAGGUCAGGAGAAGAAGCUGUGGAAUAGGAGAAAGCUUAGCAACAUUUUGAAGGGAGAACAAUGAAUGGACUAAUGGCCUCUGGCUUAGCAUGCUGGAGAGAGAUGAGCCCUGCCAGCUGGAGUGAAGUGGAGGGGGUGAGCCCUCAAGAAACAAGAUGAGUCCUGCUCCAGAAUCACAAAAAUGCUCAGAAAUCAGGGGCUCCAUAUCUAUCUAUCUGUCUGUCUAUCUAUCUAUCUAUCUAUCUAUCUAUCUAUCUAUCUAUCUAUAUAUCUUUUUUUUUUUUUGACACAAGGUCUCACUUUGUCACCCAGGCUGGAGUGCUGUGGCAUGACCUCGGCUCACUGCAGCCUUGACCACCCAGGUUCAAGUGACCCUUAUUCCUCAGCCCCCCAAGUAGCUGGGUCUACAAGAGCACACCACCACACUCAGCUAAUUUUUUUUUUUUUUUUGUAUUUGUAGUAGAGACAGGGUUUCACCAUGUUACUCAGGUUAGUCUUAAACUCUUGAGCUCAAGCGAUCCGCCCGCCUCAGCCUCCCGAAAUGCUAGGAUUACAGGCAUGAGCCCCGGCACCCAGCCAGUUCCAGGUAUUUCUGAAUGUGAGAGUAUACCAGCAAGCUGUGGAGGAGGAUUGGUUGGAAGACUGUGCAGGAGAAGGCAGACCCUCAGGCUCCUCCUGGGUGCACUGGCGUUGCUCAUGCUGCUCACCUGCUCGAAUGUCUGCUGCUUGCCCUGCCCUUCAGAAUACUGGAUUUUUCCUCUCUGACCAGGUGAACCAGAGAGGCUCAGGGCACUGGAUCCAGCUGAGGGCAGCAGAAUGAAAAGCAUGCUCACUGAACAGGGAGAUAACCCCACACCAUCCAAUGGCGUUGAAAAGUAUGGUGUAGUCUUGGAGGGACCAAUGUUCCUGAACUUUCAGGGUGUCACCUGAACCCAAAAUGGAAUUCUAGUUUGAUACCUCUCAAAACUAGUGAGCUGCUGCUCUUCUCACAUGUAUCUCCAUAUGUGGACGUGCACCAGAGCCUUUUUCUACCCUCUGAAGGAGAGAAGUGUUCUGUUUAGGGGCUUGCAGAAGAGAGGAACAUAAGAAGGCUGAGGAGAGUGGAGGACCCAACAGAGAACUACCAUCUCUAGUCUCCCAGGCUGGGUUGAGCCUCGGCAGAAAAGCGUUGACCUCAGCACGGGCAGUGUGCCUUCAAGGCCUCAUUGUGUUGUUAGUCAAGGAACUUACUGCCCUUCCCUGAGGGAGGUUUGUACUUCCUCAUGCCAUUGACAAUGGACUUGGCCACGUUACUUUCUUGGACAAUGAAAUGUGAGAGGAAGUGAUGU
Molecule: long non-coding RNA, 1708 nt
Filed under: Macaca fascicularis (crab-eating macaque)
Lineage: Eukaryota; Metazoa; Chordata; Mammalia; Primates; Cercopithecidae
Description: lncRNA (ENSMFAG00000053877.1)
Source: RNAcentral